Molecule: ribosomal RNA, 482 nt
Filed under: uncultured bacterium
Lineage: Bacteria
Description: bacterial SSU rRNA
Rfam family: Bacterial small subunit ribosomal RNA
Source: RNAcentral
AUGAACGCUAGCGGCAGGCUUAAUACAUGCAAGUCGAACGGUAACAGGUCCAGCAAUGGAUGCUGACGAGUGGCGUACGGGUGCGUAACACGUGUGCAACUUACCUUUAACAGGAGGAUAGCUCCGAGAAAUUGGAAUUAAUACUCCAUAAUAUUAUGAAACGACAUCGUUUAAUAAUUAAAGCUCCGGUGGUUAAAGAUGGGCACGCGAAACAUUAGCUAGUUGGAGAGGUAACGGCUCACCAAGGCCACGAUGUUUAGGGGUUCUGAGAGGAUUCACCCCCACACUGGUACUGAGACACGGACCAGACUCCUACGGGAGGCAGCAGUAAGGAAUAUUGGUCAAUGGACGCAAGUCUGAACCAGCCAUGCCGCGUGAAGGAUGACAGCCCUAUGGGUUGUAAACUUCUUUUAUACAGGAAAAAACCUUCCGACGUGUCGGGAGCUGAUGGUACUGUAAGAAUAAGGAUCGGCUAACUCCGU